RNAcentral lists this ribosomal RNA (583 nucleotides) under Diaporthales sp. Sn347. Its description in RNAcentral is "eukaryotic LSU rRNA". The stretch from base 228 to 381 matches the Rfam family "5.8S ribosomal RNA". The record is from RNAcentral. Lineage: Eukaryota; Fungi; Ascomycota; Sordariomycetes; Diaporthales.
GAAGUAAAAGUUGUAACAAGGUUUCCGUUGGUGAACCAGCGGAGGGAUCAUUGGUGGAACGCGCCCCAGGCGCACCCAGAAACCCUUUGUGAACUUAUACCUUACUGUUGCCUCGGCGCAUGCCGGCCCCCAGGGGCCCCUCGGAGACGAGGAGCAGGCACGCCGGCGGCCAAGUUAACUCUUGUUUUUACACUGAAACUCUGAGAAAAAAAAAAAAAAUGAAUCAAAAUUUUCAACAACGGAUCUUUUGGUUCUGGCUUCAAUAAAAAACGCACCAAAAUGCGAUAAGUAAUGGGAAUUGCAAAAUUCAGGGAAUCAUCAAAUCUUUAAACGCACUUUGCGCCCUCCGGUUUUCCGGAGGGCAUGCCUGUUCAAGCGUCUUUUCACCCCUCAAGCACUGUUUGGGGUUGGGGCACUGCUUCUCUCGGGGAAAGCAGGCCCUGAAAUUCAGGGGCAAGCUCGCCGGGACCCCAAGCGCAGUAUUUAAACCCUCGCUCUGGAAGGCCCUGGGGGGGCCCUGCCGUUAAACCCCCAACUCUUGAAAAUUUGACCUCGAAUCAGGUAGAAAUACCCGCUAAAUUUA